This 274-nucleotide ribosomal RNA is filed under the name uncultured bacterium. Its description in RNAcentral is "partial 16S ribosomal RNA". It matches the Rfam family "Bacterial small subunit ribosomal RNA", at positions 523 to 796 of the family's 1533-position model. The record is from RNAcentral.
AUACGAAGGGGGCUAGCGUUGUUCGGAAUAACUGGGCGUAAAGCGCACGUAGGCGGAAUGUUAAGUUAGAGGUGAAAUCCCAGGGCUCAACCCUGGAACUGCCUUUAAUACUGGCAAUCUAGAGAUCGAGAGAGGUGAGUGGAAUUCCGAGUGUAGAGGUGAAAUUCGUAGAUAUUCGGAGGAUCACCAGUGGCGAAGGCGGCUCACUGGCUCGAUACUGACGCUGAGGUGCGAAAGCGCGGGGAGCAAACAGGAUUAGAAACCCCAGUAGUCC